AAUAGAUACCCCGGUAGUCCACGCCGUAAACGAUGUCGACUUGGAGGUUGUGCCCUUGAGGCGUGGCUUCCGGAGCUAACGCGUUAAGUCGACCGCCUGGGGAGUACGGCCGCAAGGUUAAAACUCAAAAUGAAUUGACGGGGGCCCGCACAAGCGGUGGAGCAUGUGGUUUAAUUCGAUGCAACGCGAAGAACCUUACCUACUCUUGACAUCCAGAGAACUUAGCAGAGAUGCUUUGGUGCCUUCGGGAACUCUGAGACAGGUGCUGCAUGGCUGUCGUCAGCUCGUGUUGUGAAAUGUUGGGUUAAGUCCCGCAACGAGCGCAACCCUUAUCCUUUGUUGCCAGCGGUCCGGCCGGGAACUCAAAGGAGACUGCCAGUGAUAAACUGGAGGAAGGUGGGGAUGACGUCAAGUCAUCAUGGCCCUUACGAGUAGGGCUACACACGUGCUACAAUGGCAUAUACAAAAGAGAAGCGACCUCGCGAGAGCAAGCGGACCUCAUAAAAGUAUGUCGUAGUCCGGA
This 523-nucleotide ribosomal RNA is filed under the name uncultured bacterium. RNAcentral describes it as "bacterial SSU rRNA". It matches the Rfam family "Bacterial small subunit ribosomal RNA", at positions 777 to 1297 of the family's 1533-position model. The record is from RNAcentral.